Molecule: transfer RNA, 74 nt
Filed under: Marmota monax (woodchuck)
Lineage: Eukaryota; Metazoa; Chordata; Mammalia; Rodentia; Sciuridae
Description: tRNA.Ala
Source: RNAcentral
UCUGGGGAUAUGGCUCAGUGGUAGAGUGCUUGCCUGGCAUGCCUGAGGCCCUGAAUUCAAUCCCCAGCACAAAA